RNAcentral lists this ribosomal RNA (465 nucleotides) under uncultured bacterium. Its description in RNAcentral is "partial 16S ribosomal RNA". It matches the Rfam family "Bacterial small subunit ribosomal RNA", at positions 28 to 507 of the family's 1533-position model. The record is from RNAcentral.
GACGAACGCUGGCGGCGUGCUUAACACAUGCAAGUCGAACGGAAAGGCCCUGCUUGCAGGGUACUCGAGUGGCGAACGGGUGAGUAACACGUGGGUGAUCUGCCCUGCACUUCGGGAUAAGCCUGGGAAACUGGGUCUAAUACCGGAUAGGAGCCAUUUUUAGUGUGAUGGUUGGAAAGUUUUUUCGGUGUAGGAUGAGCUCGCGGCCUAUCAGCUUGUUGGCGGGGUAAUGGCCUACCAAGGCGGCGACGGGUAGCCGGCCUGAGAGGGUGGACGGCCACAUUGGGACUGAGAUACGGCCCAGACUCCUACGGGAGGCAGCAGUGGGGAAUAUUGCACAAUGGGCGCAAGCCUGAUGCAGCGACGCCGCGUGGGGGAUGACGGCCUUCGGGUUGUAAACUCCUUUCGCUAGGGACGAAGCUUUUUGUGACGGUACCUAGAGAAGAAGCACCGGCUAACUACGUG